This is a long non-coding RNA of Sinocyclocheilus anshuiensis, 367 nucleotides long. RefSeq lists it as uncharacterized. The transcript is spliced from 3 exons. The record is from RefSeq and is a predicted model, not a curated record. Lineage: Eukaryota; Metazoa; Chordata; Actinopteri; Cypriniformes; Cyprinidae.
UCAUCUUGAUGCAGUGUGCAACAUCAACCCGAACAAAACAAGGUGCCACUUUUGCAGACUGAUUACCAACAUUUGCACGACUGGGACACUUGAGCUCUCAUUACCUGCCAGAACGCCCUGAUAUAAGAAGACAUGGCCAGACGUGCCAUUUGGUCUCUGUAGUUUCCUCACUACUGAGCCAGUUGCAUCAAAACUCACAGUGGGGGUGGCCAAAUUAGGCAGAUGGCUUGGCUCAGGAUCUCCAAAAUCCAUCAGCUUUGUUGCCUCAGAUGCCCUCCAUACAUGGGGUUCCAUUCUACCCUCACACAGUUCUUUGAAUAUCUGCACACGCAAGUUACCAGACAUCGGACACUUGGAACAGCCAGUG